RNAcentral lists this long non-coding RNA (1286 nucleotides) under Nicotiana benthamiana. Its description in RNAcentral is "long non-coding RNA (NBEN_LNC025678)". Lineage: Eukaryota; Viridiplantae; Streptophyta; Magnoliopsida; Solanales; Solanaceae. The record is from RNAcentral.
CUGGUAAUCUGGAAAAUCUUUUCAGGAAUCAACAUGAUAGAGGUCGAAGUUUGACUUUAGAAGAAGGAGGUGCGCAGGUCUUGCUUGAAUUUCUUCUGCAAAUGCAGGAAGGGAAUCCAAAAUUUUUCUAUUCUGUGGACUUAAAUGAGGAGCAUCGAUUGAGGAAUGUUUUCUGGGUUGACGCCAAAGGCAUGGAUAACUAUUCCAAUUUUGGUGACGUGGUGUCAUUUGAUACUACAUACUUCACAAACAAAUACAAAAUACCUUUGGUUCUCUUUAUUGGAGCAAACCAUCAUGUUCAACCCACCUUACUAGGUUGUGCACUAAUUGCUGAUGAGACAGUGCAUACGUUCAUAUGGUCAUUGGAGCAAACCAUCACGUUCAACCCACCUUACUAGGUUGUGCACUAAUUGCUGAUGAGACAGUGCAUACGUUCAUAUGGUUGAUGCGGACAUGGUCUCUGGCAAUGGGUGGGCGAGGUCCACGAAUUUUAUUGUCUGAUCAAAACGACAACAUCAAAGCAGCUUGUGGAGCAAUCUUUCCGAAAACCGGGCACUACUUUAGCCUGUGGAGUAUAUUGGAGAAGAUCCCAAGGCAUCUUGAAUAUCUCAGUCUGUGGCAUGAUACAUUUAUGGCAAAAUUUACUAAGUGCAUAUAUAGAUCAUGGACUGAAGAACAAUUUGAACACAGAUGGUGGAAGUUGAUUGAAAAGUUCAAUCUUAGAGAGGACGAGUGGGUUCAAUCAUUAUAUGAAAAUCGCAAGCUUUGGGUGCCUGCUUUUAUGAGGGAUGUAUCUUUUGCCAGUUUAUCCACGGCUUCAAGAUCUGAAAGCAUGAACUCUUUCUUUGACAAAUAUAUCCAGAGUGAAAUGUCUCUUAGAGAAUUUAUUGGACAACAUAAGCUAAUCCUUGAAGACUGGUAUGAAGAGGAAGCCAAAGCUAAUUUUGAUGCAUGGCAUGAGAUGCCUGAGCUUAAGUCUCCCUCGCCCUUCGAAAAACAGAUGUUGCUCAUAUAUACUCAUGAAAUAUUCAAGAAGUUCCAAGUUGAAGUAUUAGGAGCCGCUGCAUGCCAUCUAAAAAAAGAAUCAGAAGACGGCACAUCUAUAACAUAUGCUGUCAAAGAUUUUGACACAAAUCAGGACUUCAUGGUGGAGUGGGAUGCGCCGAGGUCGGACAUAUACUGCUCAUGCCAUUCAUUUGAGUACAAAGGUUACCUUUGUAGACAUGCUAUUGUGGUUCUUCAAAUGUCUGGCGUCUUCAAUAUUCCGUCUAAGUAUAUAUUGCAAC